CCUACGGGAGGCAGCAGUGGGGAAUAUUGCGCAAUGGGCGAAAGCCUGACGCAGCGACGCCGCGUGAGGGAUGAAGGUCUUCGGAUCGUAAACCUCUGUCAGCAGGGAAGCACGGUCACUGUGCUAAUCAGCAGUGAAUUGACGGUACCUGCAAAGGAAGCCCCGGGCAACUCCGUGCCAGCCGCCGCGGGAAGACGGAGGGUGCGUGCGUUAAUCGGAAUUACUGGGCGUAAAGCGCUCGUAGGCGGUAAUUCAAGUCAAGGGUGAAAUCCACGCGCUCAACGUGGGAAGUGCCUUUGAAACUGGCAAACUGGAGUGUGUGGGAGGAUAGUGGAAUUCCAGGUGUAGGAGUGAAAU
Molecule: ribosomal RNA, 357 nt
Filed under: uncultured bacterium
Lineage: Bacteria
Description: partial 16S ribosomal RNA
Rfam family: Bacterial small subunit ribosomal RNA
Source: RNAcentral